Molecule: ribosomal RNA, 253 nt
Filed under: uncultured bacterium
Lineage: Bacteria
Description: partial 16S ribosomal RNA
Rfam family: Bacterial small subunit ribosomal RNA
Source: RNAcentral
UACGGGGGGGGCAAGCGUUGUUCGGAAUUACUGGGCGUAAAGGGCGCGUAGGCGGCCCUCUAAGUCGGACGUGAAAUCCCUCGGCUCAACCGGGGAACUGCGUCCGAUACUUGAGGGCUUGAAUCCGGGAGAGGGAUGUGGAAUUCCAGGUGUAGCGGUGAAAUGCGUAGAUAUCUGGAGGAACACCGGUGGCGAAGGCGGCAUCCUGGACCGGUAUUGACGCUGAGGCGCGAAAGCUAGGGUAGCAAACGGG